UGCGAAGGUAGCAGCAAUCCGUCGUCACCGAUUCCAGUAGAAAGCUGUGGAGGACUUGCAAUUGCUGCUGCUAAGACGGAAUCCGAGUCUCCUAUUGCCAGAUUAGCCGGAAGGACAUACAACCAAAGCUCAGAUUGCUGAAGACUUUGGUGGCGAAGGGCAAAGAGGAAAAGAAGGAGAAAGAAACCUUCACAGCCUCGAGACAAGGCAAAGGUGAGUCUAACCAUAAAAACCCCUCCUAUACUCAGUAAAGUAGCUGCUCGUUAUUGUAGUGUCGGGUGCCCAGCAAACCACAUUACGGACGGUAGCCAUAAAUUUAGCGAAAUUACCAACGGCCCCAUUGGGUGAGUGCCUUAUUAUCGUACUGCAUGAGCCAAUCUUAAAGUAGCGAUGAAUUUUAAUAGGGUCGUUUUUGGGAGCUGAGCCAAACGCUUUUCGGGACUCGAUUUUCGCCAUCUUGGUUUUGCGAGUCCCGUUUUUGCGAAAUCAAGCUGCGGACGUUGCGAGAGCCAGCCGGAAGUAGGCGGAAGUGCUCCGGGCAGCUGUGGUACGCCCGUCGAAGCAGUGCAGCCAGGCAGGGUUGCCAGUUCUACAGAAAAUCCGUGAUAUUAAGCUGUGAUACACCUGUGCCGUCCGAGCUGUGAUAUGAUUGUUGUUAUUGUUUGGAUGUUAGGGUAGGAAACGGGCCCGUGAGUAAUAAUGUAAGCUAGCUUAAGUUUUUAAAAUGUCGUGUGUAAGUAAAUAAUUAUAAUUGCUACAGAUUUGGGUUUUGCGUGUUUGUGUUUUGGGUAAAAGUUAGCCGAGCAGCACACACUGAAAGUCAG
Uranotaenia lowii is the source of this 824-nucleotide long non-coding RNA. RefSeq lists it as uncharacterized. The transcript is spliced from 3 exons. Lineage: Eukaryota; Metazoa; Arthropoda; Insecta; Diptera; Culicidae. The record is from RefSeq and is a predicted model, not a curated record.